RNAcentral lists this ribosomal RNA (253 nucleotides) under uncultured bacterium. Its description in RNAcentral is "partial 16S ribosomal RNA". It matches the Rfam family "Bacterial small subunit ribosomal RNA", at positions 524 to 776 of the family's 1533-position model. The record is from RNAcentral.
UACAGAGGGUGCGAGCGUUAAUCGGAGUUACUGGGCGUAAAGGGCGCGUAGGUGGUUUGAUAAGUUAGAUGUGAAAGCCCUGGGCUUAACCUAGGAACUGCAUCUAAGACUGUGAGACUAGAGUACUGUAGAGGGUAGUGGAAUUUCCGGUGUAGCGGUGAAAUGCGUAGAGAUCGGAAGGAACACCAGUGGCGAAGGCGGCUACCUGGACAGAUACUGACACUGAGGCGCGAAAGCGUGGGGAGCAAACAGG